ACGAACGCCACAACAAACACUCUCACCUUCAGCAACAAUGUCUUCCACUGAGAAAUAUUGAAAAAAAAAAAGAAAGGAAAAUAGCAGGGCAACACCGCCGAUCAGACCCAUCAUUACAACAACAAGAAUGAUCCAAUUUCAAGCCGUUCUUCGUCUUUCUACAGCUUCUCUUCUCAAUCCUCCAACUUCUAAUACGUAAUAAUCACUCACUUUCAGAGAUAUAAGCAAAAUUUUGUUAUUCGUAGCUAUAGAUAUAGAGACAGGAAGAGAUUGGGCGAGAAGGAGAAAUGGAUCCAGAGCAGACUUUUAUAAGGUUACAAGAAAGGUUCUCGCAGAUGCUAACACCCAAAGUCAGGGCUGCUUUGGAAUAUAUGUAUUUGUUCAUAGCUGUCACUCUCUUUUGUGUUCUCGUUGUCAUGCACGCCAAUUAUGUUCAACAGCCUGGAUGUUCAUGUGAGCUGUCUGGUGCUGAAACAAUGGAAGCGCAAAUUAUUCAAAUCAAGAUAACCAGUGCAGGUUUGUGGUCACACAAUGAAUCUGAGUCCAAUAUAGCGGAUGUUCCUGGAGUGGAGACUGUAUCAGAUAAACUAACAUUGCUAAAUGU
This 604-nucleotide unclassified non-coding RNA is filed under the name Hevea brasiliensis (rubber tree). The record is from RNAcentral. Lineage: Eukaryota; Viridiplantae; Streptophyta; Magnoliopsida; Malpighiales; Euphorbiaceae.